GGCCUCGUAGCUCAGCUGGUAGAGCAUGCGCGUACAAAGCGUAGGCGGUGUCCAUGCGUGGGUUCGAAUCCCACCGAAGCUA
Molecule: transfer RNA, 82 nt
Filed under: Echinostoma caproni
Lineage: Eukaryota; Metazoa; Platyhelminthes; Trematoda; Plagiorchiida; Echinostomatidae
Rfam family: tRNA
About the family: Transfer RNA (tRNA) molecules are approximately 80 nucleotides in length. Their secondary structure includes four short double-helical elements and three loops (D, anti-codon, and T loops). Further hydrogen bonds mediate the characteristic L-shaped molecular structure. tRNAs have two regions of fundamental functional importance: the anti-codon, which is responsible for specific mRNA codon recognition, and the 3' end, to which the tRNAs corresponding amino acid is attached (by aminoacyl-tRNA synthetases). tRNAs cope with the degeneracy of the genetic code in two manners: having more than one tRNA (with a specific anti-codon) for a particular amino acid; and 'wobble' base-pairing, i.e. permitting non-standard base-pairing at the 3rd anti-codon position.
Source: Rfam by way of RNAcentral